UGCUGCCCUGGCAGGGAUUGGCUUGGCUUUGGAGCUUGGCUUCGCUGGAGAAGAGAGGUGGUGAAAACAUUUCAACGGAGAAGUGGAGAACAACAGCUCUGGCUGGAUUGAUUUAAAACUUUGCUAAUCAAUCUCAGCCCUUUUCUACUUCUGUAUUUCUGUUUCAUAGUUCUUUGUAAUGUUAAAGGUCUUUAUAUAGAGCUAUGGGAGAUGAGGCAAGGUGUAACUAUAGGCCACUGAGGCUUGGAUUUCCCAUUCGAGUCUUCGUGCCAUGGCUACAGUUUCUCAAUGAGAAAAAGAAACUGGCAUUUGGUUUUCACAGGUUUAAUUUCACACCUGACACAUCCCCUCAACAUUGACAAAACACCACUAAAGCAAUUAAGGUCAAACAGUCUGCCCUGAGUGGCUUGGUGCUGCAAUUCGUCUUUGACAUUUGUGUUCGCACUGACUGCUUUAUUGUCAAUCUCAAACCCGCGCUUUAACGGCAACCAUUUUUCACUUUUAUAAUCUUAACGCAUUAAUGAUUGAUGAUAUGAGUCUUUCCAUAAGAAAGACCUUUAGCACAUAUAAAACAUAUUUGACCUAAUCAGAGUAUGGAUGUGUGGUCAAGACAGGGUCCUUCAUUUAAUCAAAGCUAAUACAGAUACAUUGAGAUAAUGUUAUUAAUAUGCUGUAACGCAUUGAUAUAAAGGUCAUGAUCAUUAUUGGCAAUAGUUAUGAUUAAGAACUUUGCAACGAGGAGGCUGGUGGCUGUGCUGGUCUAUAAGAAACGCAGCUUCCUUUGAUUGGAAUAUUUGGAGAUAGAGAGAGGGAGAUGGAGAGAGAGACAGACAGACAGACAGAGAGAGAGAGAGUAAGUGCACAGAAUUACCCACACAUUAAGGACAAGACCUCUGAAGUGCGAUAAAAGACUCCUCUUAGUACUUUUCGUACAAAUGUUUACAAAAGAAUGUGGAAAAUUCUAUUCAUAUUUCAACUGAUUUUCUUCACUGAAAUGCUAAAUGCAUCAUAUGCAAUUAACCUUGCUCCAGAAUUUUCAGAAUGCAUUACAUGCUAUUAACGGUGAAAAGUAGAAUACAUUUAUUUUCCUUAUCUGCCACAAAGAAUCAGCAAAGAGCAGCAACAGAUUCUUUUUUUUUUUUUUCAAUUUGGCCAGUGAAACUAAAAGUCUAAUCUGCCUACCACAAGCUCAAUAACAGAGUAGUGCUAAUGUCCACCACAAAUGAAUAAAGACAUUGCUUAAGGGACAGGGGAUUGAAUUAUGCAUGAGUCAUUCACUAAGCCACAUUAUGCUUAGCAAAUAGCCAAUGCAGGAAUCGCUGUGUGACUUUGCAGGUCCCUCAAUUUAUUUGUUAUUUAUUCGUUUUUCUUUGAAAUCAAACAAUGGCAGGGU
This is a long non-coding RNA of Clupea harengus (Atlantic herring), 1393 nucleotides long. The record is from Ensembl. NCBI's taxonomy places the organism in Eukaryota, Metazoa, Chordata, Actinopteri, Clupeiformes, Clupeidae.